GCGGGGGUGCCCGAGCGGCCAAAGGGGUCGGGUUUAGGUCCCGAUGGCUAAGUGCCGUCCGGGGUUCGAAUCCCCGCCCCCGCA
Molecule: transfer RNA, 84 nt
Filed under: Candidatus Nanopusillus sp.
Lineage: Archaea; Nanobdellati; Nanobdellota; Candidatus Nanoarchaeia; Nanoarchaeales; Nanopusillaceae
Description: tRNA-Leu
Rfam family: tRNA
About the family: Transfer RNA (tRNA) molecules are approximately 80 nucleotides in length. Their secondary structure includes four short double-helical elements and three loops (D, anti-codon, and T loops). Further hydrogen bonds mediate the characteristic L-shaped molecular structure. tRNAs have two regions of fundamental functional importance: the anti-codon, which is responsible for specific mRNA codon recognition, and the 3' end, to which the tRNAs corresponding amino acid is attached (by aminoacyl-tRNA synthetases). tRNAs cope with the degeneracy of the genetic code in two manners: having more than one tRNA (with a specific anti-codon) for a particular amino acid; and 'wobble' base-pairing, i.e. permitting non-standard base-pairing at the 3rd anti-codon position.
Source: RNAcentral